GCGAAUCCAUGUUCAAAGAACACGACUGAUCAUCAUUAUUAUUAGUAUAUAUUUGGAUCCAACAUAAGAACAAUCCAUUGGGCAAAAGAAUAAGUUAAAUAUUUUUUGUCCUAAUUCCUAUAGACAUGUUUGUUCCGUUCACAUGACAGAAAGCAAUUCUUGAACUUUGCAAUCUUAUUGUAACAGAUUUUCUUCAUUCACAUGGUAGCAAUUUUUUCAACUCUCCAAUCUUGUGUGCUAUGCUAUGCACCAUUUGAGAAGAGCAAAGUAGUAAAAUAGGCCGAUUUUCUAAAAGGAAAAUUGCGAUGCCGUCUUGCAUUCAUAACUUGAAUUUUGCCAUUUUUUAUUUGGAUGAUCCUACACCACAAAAUCUCGAGCUUUUUCUUCUCAAGACUCAAACUCGAUAUCUAUAGUUAAAGACGGGAUAUUCAUCCAUCUUUCACAUUCCUUUUUGGAACCACCUAGCCAGCUGUAAAAAAAACAUACCUCCAUAGAAUUUGAACUGAACUCUUGACAAUUGUUAACUGUUAACUACUCAAUUGAUGUGAACAAAGUACUAAAAUAUGGCGAAACUCUAAAGUACCUUGAAUGAUCCUACACCAUAAUGUCUCAUAGGGACGACCUACUACAACAACAACAAUCCAGUAUAAUCUCAUAAGUGGGGUUUGGGAAGGAUAAUAUAUACGCAGACCUUACCCCUAUCUCGAGGAGCAGGGAGACUGUUUCCAGGAGAACCUCGACUAAAGACAGCAACAAGAGACGAUAUAUUAGUACUAUCAAUAAACUCAUAUUAAAAUAACAUAAAAUAAUAUAAAAUACAUAAUAUAACAUAAAAUAACAAAAUAACAACAAUAUCAGAAUAUAAGAAAUAUACGAAAAAGAUGGAAGGUAUACUAAUGACCAACAGAUAAAUCCUUACACCAAUAGUUGAUCAGUAGCAUUCUAAGAUUAACUCCUAACAUUAUUUAAACCAUCAUGUAUCGAAAACUAAUGGCUUAAGCUAAUAUAUAUUUGCACCAAAUAUGAUUCAUCAGUUCCACACAUCCUUUCUCGGAACCACCUAGCGGUUAAAAAAAAAAUGUCUCCGUAGAAUUUGAAGUCAUGAACUCUUAACAAUUGUUAACUGUGAAUCAGUAAACGAGUUAAUUAUACUCCAACUCUUCAAUCUUAUAUUAGCUAGCGAUUUCAAGAAUUUGGGG
This 1199-nucleotide long non-coding RNA is filed under the name Nicotiana benthamiana. Its description in RNAcentral is "long non-coding RNA (NBEN_LNC018823)". Lineage: Eukaryota; Viridiplantae; Streptophyta; Magnoliopsida; Solanales; Solanaceae. The record is from RNAcentral.